Molecule: ribosomal RNA, 490 nt
Filed under: uncultured bacterium
Lineage: Bacteria
Description: partial 16S ribosomal RNA
Rfam family: Bacterial small subunit ribosomal RNA
Source: RNAcentral
AUUGAACGCUGGCGGCAGGCCUAACACAUGCAAGUCGAACGGUAACAGGAAGCAGCUUGCUGCUUUGCUGACGCGUGGCGGACGGGUGAGUAAUGUCUGGGAAACUGCCCGAUGGAGGGGGAUAACUACUGGAAACGGUAGCUAAUACCGCAUAACGUCGCAAGACCAAAGAGGGGGACCUUAGGGCCUCUUGCCAUCGGCUGUGCCCAGAUGGGAUUAGCUAGUAGGUGGGGUAACGGCUCACCUAGGCGACGAUCCCUAGCUGGUCUGAGAGGAUGACCAGCCACACUGGAACUGAGACACGGUCCAGACUCCUACGGGAGGCAGCAGUGGGGAAUAUUGCACAAUGGGCGAAAGCCUGAUGCAGCCAUGCCGCGUGUAUGAAGAAGGCCUUCGGGUUGUAAAGUACUUUCAGCGGGGAGGAAGGGAGUAAAGUUAAUACCUUUGCUCAUUGACGUUACCCGCAGAAGAAGCACCGGCUAACUCCGUG